RNAcentral lists this ribosomal RNA (301 nucleotides) under uncultured bacterium. Its description in RNAcentral is "partial 16S ribosomal RNA". It matches the Rfam family "Bacterial small subunit ribosomal RNA", at positions 509 to 808 of the family's 1533-position model. The record is from RNAcentral.
CAGUCGCCCGCGGGAAUACCGAGGGUGCGAGCGUUAAUCGGAUUUACUGGGCGUAAAGCGUGCGUAGGCGGCUUCUUAAGUCGGAUGUGAAAUCCCUGAGCUUAACUUAGGAAUUGCAUUCGAUACUGGGAAGCUAGAGUAUGGGAGAGGAUGGUAGAAUUCCAGGUGUAGCGGUGAAAUGCGUAGAGAUCUGGAGGAAUACCGAUGGCGAAGGCAGCCAUCUGGCCUAAUACUGACGCUGAGGUACGAAAGCAUGGGGAGCAAACAGGAUUAGAGACCCCCGUAGUCCCUGUCUCUUAUU